Molecule: small nucleolar RNA, 72 nt
Organism: Spea bombifrons (plains spadefoot toad)
Lineage: Eukaryota; Metazoa; Chordata; Amphibia; Anura; Pelobatidae
Product: small nucleolar RNA SNORD101
Exons: 1
Source: RefSeq, a predicted model, not a curated record
GUUUAAAUGAUGACUUUUUACAUUGUCGGAUACCCCUUCACUCGUCUGAGUGAUAACUUGAAUCUGAUGAAC